AAUGAACGCUGGCGGCAGGCCUAACACAUGCAAGUCGAACGGGUCCUUCGGGACUAGUGGCGGACGGGUGAGUAACGCGUGGGAACAUACCCUUUGGUACGGAAUAGCCUCGGGAAACUGAGAGUAAUACCGUAUGUGCCCUUCGGGGGAAAGAUUUAUCGCCAAAGGAUUGGCCCGCGUUGGAUUAGGUAGUUGGUGGGGUAAUGGCCUACCAAGCCGACGAUCCAUAGCUGGUUUGAGAGGAUGAUCAGCCACACUGGGACUGAGACACGGCCCAGACUCCUACGGGAGGCAGCAGUGGGGAAUCUUAGACAAUGGGGGAAACCCUGAUCUAGCCAUGCCGCGUGAUCGAUGAAGGCCUUAGGGUUGUAAAGAUCUUUCAGAUGGGAAGAUAAUGACGGUACCAUCAGAAGAAGCCCCGGCUAACUCCGUG
This 433-nucleotide ribosomal RNA is filed under the name uncultured bacterium. RNAcentral's name for it is "bacterial SSU rRNA". It matches the Rfam family "Bacterial small subunit ribosomal RNA", at positions 29 to 507 of the family's 1533-position model. The record is from RNAcentral.